RNAcentral lists this ribosomal RNA (598 nucleotides) under uncultured bacterium. RNAcentral's name for it is "bacterial SSU rRNA". It matches the Rfam family "Bacterial small subunit ribosomal RNA", at positions 73 to 650 of the family's 1533-position model. The record is from RNAcentral.
CCGGAGCUUGCUCCACCGGAAAAAGAGGAGUGGCGAACGGGUGAGUAACACGUGGGUAACCUGCCCAUCAGAAGGGGAUAACACUUGGAAACAGGUGCUAAUACCGUAUAACAAUCGAAACCGCAUGGUUUUGAUUUGAAAGGCGCUUUCGGGUGUCGCUGAUGGAUGGACCCGCGGUGCAUUAGCUAGUUGGUGAGGUAACGGCUCACCAAGGCGACGAUGCAUAGCCGACCUGAGAGGGUGAUCGGCCACAUUGGGACUGAGACACGGUCCAAACUCCUACGGGAGGCAGCAGUAGGGAAUCUUCGGCAAUGGACGAAAGUCUGACCGAGCAACGCCGCGUGAGUGAAGAAGGUUUUCGGAUCGUAAAACUCUGUUGUUAGAGAAGAACAAGGAUGAGAGUAACUGUUCAUCCCUUGACGGUAUCUAACCAGAAAGCCACGGCUAACUACGUGCCAGCAGCCGCGGUAAUACGUAAGUGGCAAGCGUUGUCCGGAUUUAUUGGGCGUAAAGCGAGCGCAGGCGGUUUCUUAAGUCUGAUGUGAAAGCCCCCGGCUCAACCGGGGAGGGUCAUUGGAAACUGGGAGACUUGAGUGCA